Molecule: ribosomal RNA, 686 nt
Filed under: uncultured bacterium
Lineage: Bacteria
Description: bacterial SSU rRNA
Rfam family: Bacterial small subunit ribosomal RNA
Source: RNAcentral
GUCGACGGUGAGAGGAGCUUGCUCCUCGGAACAGUGGCGGACGGGUGAGUAACACGUGAGCAACCUGGCUCUAAGAGGGGGACAACAGUUGGAAACGACUGCUAAUACCGCAUAACGUAUCGGGAUGGCAUCUUCCUGAUACCAAAGAUUUUAUCGCUUAGAGAUGGGCUCGCGUCUGAUUAGAUAGUUGGCGGGGUAACGGCCCACCAAGUCGACGAUCAGUAGCCGGACUGAGAGGUUGAACGGCCACAUUGGGACUGAGACACGGCCCAGACUCCUACGGGAGGCAGCAGUGGGGGAUAUUGGACAAUGGGGGCAACCCUAAUCCAGCGACGCCGCGUGAGGGAAGAAGGUUUUCGGAUUGUAAACCUCUGUUGACGGAGAAAAAAAUGAUGGUAUCCGUUUAGAAAGCCACGGCUAACUACGUGCCAGCAGCCGCGGUAAUACGUAGGUGGCAAGCGUUGUCCGGAAUUACUGGGUGUAAAGGGAGUGUAGGCGGGAUAUCAAGUCAGAAGUGAAAAUUACGGGCUCAACUCGUAACCUGCUUUUGAAACUGACAUUCUUGAGUGAAGUAGAGGCAAGCGGAAUUCCUAGUGUAGCGGUGAAAUGCGUAGAUAUUAGGAGGAACACCAGUGGCGAAGGCGGCUUGCUGGGCUUUUUACUGACGCUGAGGCUCGAAAGCGUGG